Molecule: ribosomal RNA, 502 nt
Filed under: uncultured bacterium
Lineage: Bacteria
Description: partial 16S ribosomal RNA
Rfam family: Bacterial small subunit ribosomal RNA
Source: RNAcentral
GACGAACGCUGGCGGCGUGCCUAAUACAUGCAAGUCGAACGAACCGCGACUAGGUGCUUGCACUUGGUCAAGGUGAGUGGCGAACGGGUGAGUAACACGUGGGUAACCUACCUCAUAGUGGGGGAUAACAGUCGGAAACGACUGCGAAUACCGCAUAGGACAUAGUAUCACAUGAUCCAGUGAGUAAAGGUGGCGCAAGCUAUCGCUAAGAGAUAGACCCGCAGUGCAUGAGCUAGUUGGUAGGGGAAAGGCCUACCAAGGCGAUGAUGCAUAGCCGACCUCAGAGGGUCAACGGCCACCUUGGGACUGAGACACGGCCGCCACACCUACGGGAGGAAGCAGUAGGGAAUCUUACGCAAUGGAGGCAAGUCUGACGUAGCACCGCCGCGUGAGUGAAGAAGGUCUUAGGCUCGUAAAGUUAUGUUGUUAGAGAAGAACAGCGCAUAGAGUAACUGUUAUGCGUGUGACGGUAUCUAACCAGAAAGCCACGGCUAACUACGUG